This 1165-nucleotide long non-coding RNA is filed under the name Ixodes scapularis (black-legged tick). RNAcentral describes it as "uncharacterized LOC121048273". The record is from RNAcentral. Lineage: Eukaryota; Metazoa; Arthropoda; Arachnida; Ixodida; Ixodidae.
AGUCACACAAACUCCAAACUGUCACUGCUAAGUGCUACGCAAUGAUUAAGCAACCGCACUUGUUCUCGGUCGCCGCACUUAAUGUUCGCUCUCUGCCGGCGCAUUCCAAGGACGUGCACCACGACCCCGUCCUACGCCAUGCAUCUGUACUUUGCCUCUCGGAAACGUGGAUGGAUCCAAAACAGGCGGUAGAAAUCAUGGACUACCAGUACUGCUGCGGCGUCAGUAGAGAGCACAACAGAGCGGCAGGGGUGGCCAUCUACGUGCGUAAGGGUCUGUCUGCCGUACCCAUCGAGAUAUUUGGAACGUCAGACGAAGUUGGAGAACUUUGUGGCGCCAAGUUCGACAACGGCUUGGUAGUGGUGGCUCUGUAUAUCUCGCCUACAGCACUCACCAAAGAUAUCGUGCAUUUUCUGCGACUUGCGUUAAGCACACGUGGGUCCACACCCAUGUUAGUAGUGGGGGACUUUAAUGCAGACUUAAAGAAGGAUAAGAACUUCAUACCACUUAUGCAGGAAAACCUCCCAUUUCUCUCCCUCGUAACAGCUCACACCGCUGUGACGACCUCUCGAAACACGUGCAUAGACCUCGUCUUUCAAAAUCAGCCUUUGGUCCAUCACCUGGAACACAUAUCCUGCCACUUCUCAGAUCACAAGGCUUCCUUCAUAACAAUCAAGGACUGGGAUAAGAGUGCUAUUUAAAGCACCAGUAUAGGAGGAGCUUGCUCUAUAUUUGUAUAUAUUGUGGGGAUUUUGGACGCCGAACUUUGGCGACGAUAUGCACUGCACGCUAGGAAGAAAGGAGGAGGAGAAGAACGAAAGCUGGGAAAUUGUUCCCUCCGACGGUCUUGCGUACCUUGAGAGGUGUUAGGCGGGCCACUCGGAGGAGCAUCUACCAGCUUCGUUAUCAGUUGGAGCGUGCAAGUCGUACAAGACGAAGAGGAGGAGGAGGACGGUGAGGUUGAGGAGGAGGAGGAGAGGAGAUGCCAGAUACGUGUUGUGCAAGCAAGUGGUCUCAUCAAUCGUAAAUCACAUUGGAGCUUCCAGAUCUGACAAGUAUAUUCCCUUUCUCCGUACAAGCGGUGUGUUCCAAGCAUGUGACGACUUUCAUGACCCUGUUUCAUCAUCAAGUAUUGAAGUUCAUCUUGCGUCAGAUCUAAACAAAU